UGAAAUCGCAGACAGGGACACAUGGAGAACGCCCCCACCAGUUCCCACGUGCUUCUCUUUCCGCAG
Molecule: microRNA precursor, 66 nt
Organism: Homo sapiens (human)
Lineage: Eukaryota; Metazoa; Chordata; Mammalia; Primates; Hominidae
Source: Ensembl